RNAcentral lists this ribosomal RNA (497 nucleotides) under uncultured bacterium. RNAcentral's name for it is "partial 16S ribosomal RNA". It matches the Rfam family "Bacterial small subunit ribosomal RNA", at positions 28 to 507 of the family's 1533-position model. The record is from RNAcentral.
GAUGAACGCUGGCGGCGUGCCUAAUACAUGCGAGUCGAGCGAACAGAUAAGGAGCUUGCUCCUUUGACGUUAGCGGCGGACGGGUGAGUAACACGUGGAUAACCUACCUAUAAGACUGGGAUAACUUCGGGAAACCGGAGCUAAUACCGGAUAACAUAUUGAACCGCAUGGUUCAAUAGUGAAAGGCGGCUUUGCUGCCACUUAUAGAUGGAUCCGCGCCGUAUUAGCUAGUUGGUAAGGUAACGGCUUACCAAGGCAACGAUACGUAGCCGACCUGAGAGGGUGAUCGGCCACACUGGAACUGAGACACGGUCCAGACUCCUACGGGAGGCAGCAGUAGGGAAUCUUCCGCAAUGGGCGAAAGCCUGACGGAGCAACGCCGCGUGAGUGAUGAAGGUCUUCGGAUCGUAAAACUCUGUUAUCAGGGAAGAACAAAUGUGUAAGUAACUGUGCACAUCUUGACGGUACCUGAUCAGAAAGCCACGGCUAACUACGUG